GCCUGCUUGGCCAAGUGGUAAGGCGUCAGUCUUGUACUUGUUAUGCUCACGUGUAACUGCAAAAAAACUGAAGAGCGCUGGUUCGAUCCCGGCAGUAGGCA
This is a non-coding RNA of Kickxella alabastrina, 101 nucleotides long. The record is from the annotation of a RefSeq genome assembly. NCBI's taxonomy places the organism in Eukaryota, Fungi, Kickxellomycota, Kickxellomycetes, Kickxellales, Kickxellaceae.